This 465-nucleotide ribosomal RNA is filed under the name uncultured bacterium. RNAcentral's name for it is "partial 16S ribosomal RNA". It matches the Rfam family "Bacterial small subunit ribosomal RNA", at positions 28 to 507 of the family's 1533-position model. The record is from RNAcentral.
GACGAACGCUGGCGGCGUGCUUAACACAUGCAAGUCGAACGGUAAGGCCCCUUCGGGGGUACACGAGUGGCGAACGGGUGAGUAACACGUGAGCAACCUGCCCUUGACUCUGGAAUAACAGUUGGAAACAGCUGCUAAUACUGGAUAUUCAUCGUCUCCUUCCUGGGGGGUGGUGGAAAGCUCCGGCGGUCAGGGAUGGGCUCGCGGCCUAUCAGCUUGUUGGUGAGGUAAUGGCUCACCAAGGCUUCGACGGGUAGCUGGCCUGAGAGGGCGACCGGCCACACUGGGACUGAGAUACGGCCCAGACUCCUACGGGAGGCAGCAGUGGGGAAUAUUGCACAAUGGGCGCAAGCCUGAUGCAGCAACGCCGCGUGCGGGAUGACGGCCUUCGGGUUGUAAACCGCUUUCAGUAGGGACGAAGGGUGACUGACGGUACCUACAGAAGAAGGACCGGCUAACUACGUG